Molecule: unclassified non-coding RNA, 574 nt
Filed under: soil metagenome
Description: partial contains internal transcribed spacer 1, 5.8S ribosomal RNA, and internal transcribed spacer 2
Rfam family: 5.8S ribosomal RNA (bases 72-220)
Source: RNAcentral
UUGAUUUUAGUUAUUUGUGAACGUACUACGAACAAACCAAAAAAAUAUUAUAGUCAAAAAAAAUUAAAUCAAAACUUUUACAAUGGAUCUCUUGGUUCUCGUAUCGAUGAAGAACGCAGCGAAACGCGAUAUUUCUUGUGAAUUGCAGAAGUGAAUCAUCAGUUUUUGAACGCACAUUGCACUUUGGGGUAUCCCCCAAAGUAUACUUGUUUGAGCGUUGUUUCUCUCUUGGAAUUGCAUUUGCUUUCUAAAAAAUCGAAUCAAAUUCGUUUGAAACUUCAUUUAUUUCAACCUCAGAUCAAGUAGGAUUACCCGCUGAACUUAAGCAUAUCAAUAAGCGGAGGAAUCGUAGCCUUGGUCAUUUAGAGGAAGUAAAAGUCGUAACAAGGUUUCCGUAGGUGAACCUGCGGAAGGAUCACUAGUGAUUAAGUCGAGCGUGUCUUCAUUGACCGCUCACCCUUCUCACCAUCCACAUACACCUGUGCACUGUUUAGCCUGAGCCGGUUUUCCGGUCCAGGUUAUCAUUUCAUACAAACUCUAGUCUUAUGAAUGUAAACGUUUUAAUAACAUAAUG